Molecule: long non-coding RNA, 3800 nt
Filed under: Sus scrofa (pig)
Lineage: Eukaryota; Metazoa; Chordata; Mammalia; Artiodactyla; Suidae
Description: lncRNA (ENSSSCG00005016018.1)
Source: RNAcentral
GGAAGUUCCCAGGCUGGGGGUUAAAUUGAAGCUGCAGUUGCUGGCCUACACCACAAUCACAGCAAUAUGUGAUUCAAGCCACAUCUUUGACCUAUACCAUAGCUCGAGACAAUGCUGGAUCCUUAACCCACUGAGCAGGGCCAAGGAUUAAGCCCAUGUCCUCAUGGAUACUAGUCAGCUUCUUUUCCACUAAGCCGCAGCGGGAACUCUGGCAAUUCAUUUUUUCUGGUUCUGGUGAGAGCUUCACCCAAUAAAUGAUGUUUAUUCAUAGAUGUGAAGAUAACUUAGACCAGAAUACUUAAAGCCAGAACUCCCUGGAGACCAUGACUGGGCUUUCCAUGAUCUUGAAUACAUUUAUUAACUGGGUAAAAAAGUACACACAAGAGACACACAUCUCUUCAAAAUUCACUUAGAAGCUGGAUGGAGAAUGUAACUAUUAAUUUGACUGUAGAGUAACUUCCUGGCUAUAGCCUGCUUAUUUCAGUAAACCAAGGAAACAUAUUUGUGACAAGCAAAAAGCAAAUCGGCCGCCUUUAGCAUUUGUGUUAUUGGAGGCUUCCGCAAAACUGGGACAUGAGCAAUUUCCUUUUGUUCCAGUCAUUGUCUAAGUGAUGAAAGAGAGAGGUCUCGCUAAAAUUACAGAAAAUCAGAAAAGGCGCAAUAUUAUGUUUAGAAUACUCUCAAGAUUAUAGCUGAAAUUUGUCACCCAGAUCUUUUUGUCUCCGCCAAAUGGUACUGACUCAUUUUGAUGGUGGCUGAAGAGAUGAAGCCAGCAUUAAUGGACAGAACACCAGGCACAAAGGUGAUUAUUCCUACCUUAGCCACAUACUUUUGUGUUCUUGGGAUUUUCUGAGCUUGCUUUCUCCCGUGUUAACUGGCAGUAACAACUACCUCUUGCUAUUGGGCGUUUGUGAAAGAGUAGGCAGUGUUUCUAAAAGUUGUUUUAGGUUGCUAAACAGAGAAAAGAGAAAUACAAAGCGUAUUUACAUCAGUUAUUGCUCUGACUUUUUAAAAUUUGUCUCACUACCAUUUCUUAGCAAGUAGAUAGUUUAAUGAGAUAGGCCUCUUUUUUCCUAAUACAUUUUUAAAUCCCCUUAUUUCAAGUUAUAUAAUGUUUUAAAAAAUUGUAAACUCAUUAUAUAAUAAUUUUGUAAUUGUAAAACAAAUGUAAGUUUAUCAAUUAUAUUUCAUGGGACUAAGAAACAUGAUCUCCUACUCACAUUCUUUCCAGCUCUGAAGUGAAAAGCCAUUGAGCUGACCUGGGGUGAAUUCGCCUUAACUGCUUAUAUCUGAGUAACCUUGGUUAAGUCCCCAAUGCUGCUGAUUUGUUUCCUCAUAUAGAAAAUAUCCUCAUAUAGAAUAAAUCACGUCCUCUAGGAUUGGUGUAAGGGUUAAAUGAGACGGUACCUGUGAUAAUAGCCAUUUCAGAACUUGGUAUGUAAUAAGUAUUCAGCAAUGUCUAGACAAUCUUUAGAUUUAUCUGUUUGAUCAGGCCACAGAAAAAGAAGGAAGAUUAAAAAUAAAUAAUAGUGGACUAGUCCUUAAAUUCAAAUAAAGACUCUGAGAUCCUUAGGGUAUCUUAUACAGUUUUUGGCCCUUUUCUUCCAAAAUAGAGACAGCAGAAUGACCUUAAAAGUUUUACUUUAUCCUUCCUAGAUUUGUUUAAUUACAUGCAAGAUUCUUCCAAAGAACUGCUACUCUGACCUUAACAAAGCCACAUCUAUGGGUCAAAACAUAGUCGUAAUUGGUCUCUGCCUUCCAAUACCUAAAAUUUAGAAAACUCAAAAUAAUGUAAAUCUAAUGAUUAUGAAACUCAGAUACUUUUUUUGUGCGUGUUAUGUUUUCUGCCUUCAUGAAGAGGGAGUAAAUGAGAUGUCAGAGAUUUAUUCCAAAAACAAUCUGUGGGAUGUGUCAGAUUCAGAUUAUAAUGAUAACUCUUUUGACCUCCUAAGAGUUACCAGGGUUCUCCACAUGUAAAACAUGCUCACCAGAAGUUCCUGUUGUGGCACAGAGGAAAUAAAUCAGACUAAUAUCCAUGAAGAUGUGGGUUCAAUCCCUGGCCUUGCUCAGUGGGUUAAGGAUCCAGUGUUGCCGUGAGCUCUGGCAUAGGUCACAGAUGCGGCUUAAAUCCUUUGUUGCUAUGGCUGUGGUGUAGGCCAGCAGCUGCAGCUCCAGUUGGACCCCUAGCCUGGGAACUUCCAUUUACCACGGCUGUGGCCCUAAAAAGAAAAAAAAAAAAAAAUGCUCACCAGAUGCCCAUGGGUAGCACACUGGUAGCUGAAUGAUCACGGCUGUUAUUCAGUAGCCCAACAUUUCUCCUUCCAGGAAUCUUUCGUUUGUUCCUAAAUAUGUGUUUGCCAGUUGUUAUUAUAAAUGCACAAUUUAAAUAGACAUUAAAUAACCAAUGAAAUAUAAAUAAAAGAUAGUUAUUGUUUCUAUGAAAACUAGGUUAAGCAAUUUGGAUAGACUUGGUAAAGGUGCUUGCCAGAAAUAAUUCCUGCAGAAAUAGGUUUGGUGAAGUUACUGUAAAAGAUAUUGAUAGGCAGGAUCAGAAAAAUCUAGAAGUAUUCUGGACCCAUAUUAUUUCAUGUUUCACUCUAAGAUGGAAACUAGAAAUUAUAGAUACUGCAUUAAGGGUAUGGUACAUCAAAGGAAUCUACAAACAAUUGACUCACACCCUAUACUUCAUUCAAAGAUGGCAAAUGAAUGGACAUUUACAUGUUUCAAGUUAAAUAUACAAAUAGAUCUGUGUGUGUUUAAGUCUACACUUUAUCAGUCAGGGUUCAGUCAGGGAAACAGAGCCACUGUGAAUGUUAUGUGAAUAAAGAGUUUAUUUUAGGAAUUAGAAAUUGCAAAUGGGAGAACUGGGAAAGGAGAGUUCUGAAAGAAAAGCAGAAGCUCAUGGAGUCACUAACAAGUCAUCCUAAAAUACUGAUGUGGAAGCCAACCAUGGCUGUUCCUGAGGUGAGACUUCACCUCAGGGAGAGGUCUAUGGGGAACUGUCACCUAAGGGAGGCUGCCUCGGUGGAGCUGCAGCCAACCUCUGCAGGUGGCCCUGGAAUCAUUCUCAGACAGGAGUCAGGACAAAAAGCUAGAACAGAGGAGAGCAGGAACAAGUGAGGAUCCACAUUGGCACCUGUGACAAUCUGUCACUGUUUCUGAGUGCAGCAACAUGCCAAGGGUAGUGGCUGUUUCUUUACCCCCACCUCCCAAAUCUCACACCACCAUCCUCCCAUCUCCCAAUUCUAAUCUAGAACCAUAAAGAGAAGGAGAUUUGGGAAAACCAAAGGUUAACCAAAUUGACAAAGCCCAACCCUACACACCCCCCUUAAAUGAUUCUUUCAGUUAACCAACUAAUCAUGGGUCCAAGUCAUUGGGAUAAAGAGGGAUUCUACUGUUGUUAAUUCUACCAUCUACAUGGAAGUAUGUUGAUAAAUAAUGUUAGGAAAUUAUGCCUUAAGGUCUUAUCAUCUACUAUUGUGUCUUCAGAAUUAAGAGUCAAAAGUUGAGUUAUUAGGAGAUCCCAUGGUGGCGCAGCAGAAACAAUCCGAGUAGGAAUUGCGGGUUCAAUCCUUGGCCUCGAUCAGUGGGUUAAGGAUUGCGGGUUCAAUCCUUGGCCUCGAUCAGUGGGUUAAGGAUCUGGCAUUGCUGUGAGUUGUGGUGUAGGUCGAAGAUGAGGCUUGGAUCUGGCAUUGCUGUAGCUGUGGUGUAGGCCAGCAGCGGUAGCUCUGAUUCAGCCCCUAGUCUGGGAACCUCCAUAUGCAGUGGGUGCAACCCUAAAAAAACCAAAAAAAAAAAAA